RNAcentral lists this ribosomal RNA (423 nucleotides) under uncultured bacterium. Its description in RNAcentral is "bacterial SSU rRNA". It matches the Rfam family "Bacterial small subunit ribosomal RNA", at positions 361 to 776 of the family's 1533-position model. The record is from RNAcentral.
AUUUUGCGCAAUGGGCGAGAGCCUGACGCAGCAACGCCGCGUGGAGGAUGAAGGUCCUUGGAUUGUAAACUCCUGUCAGCAGGGAAAAAGGGAUAGGCGCUAAUACCGCUUAAACUUGAUUGUACCUGCAGAGGAAGCCCCGGCUAACUCUGUUCCAGCAGCCGCGGUAAUACAGAGGGGGCGAGCGUUAUUCGGAAUUAUUGGGCGUAAAGGGCGCGUAGGCGGCCAUUCAAGUGACGGGUGAAAGCCCUCGGCUUAACCGAGGAACUGCCUGUCAGACUGGGUGGCUUGAGACCGGGAGAGGUGAGUGGAAUUCCCAGUGUAGCGGUGAAAUGCGUAGAUAUUGGGAGGAACACCAGUGGCGAAGGCGGCUCACUGGACCGGAACUGACGCUGAGGCGCGAAAGCGUGGGGAGCAAACAGG